RNAcentral lists this ribosomal RNA (279 nucleotides) under uncultured bacterium. Its description in RNAcentral is "partial 16S ribosomal RNA". It matches the Rfam family "Bacterial small subunit ribosomal RNA", at positions 506 to 784 of the family's 1533-position model. The record is from RNAcentral.
UGCCAGCAGCCGCGGUAAUACGGAGGGUGCAAGCGUUAUCCGGAAUCAUUGGGUUUAAAGGGUCCGCAGGCGGAUGUAUAAGUCAGUGGUGAAAUCCUACAGCUUAACUGUAGAACUGCCAUUGAUACUGUACAUCUUGAAUUCGGUCGAAGUGGGCGGAAUAUGUCAUGUAGCGGUGAAAUGCUUAGAUAUGACAUAGAACACCGAUAGCGAAGGCAGCUCACUAGGCCUGGAUUGACGCUCAGGGACGAAAGCGUGGGUAGCGAACAGGAUUAGAUA